CGCUGGCGGCGCGCCUAAACACAUGCAAGUCGAACGAGAGAUGAAGAGCUUGCUCUUCAGAUCGAGUGGCGAACGGGUGAGUAACGCGUGAGGAACCUGCCUCAAAGAGGGGGACAACAGUUGGAAACGACUGCUAAUACCGCAUAAGCCCACAGCUCGGCAUCGAGCAGAGGGAAAAGGAGCAAUCCGCUUUGAGAUGGCCUCGCGUCCGAUUAGCUAGUUGGUGAGGUAACGGCCCACCAAGGCGACGAUCGGUAGCCGGACUGAGAGGUUGAACGGCCACAUUGGGACUGAGACACGGCCCAGACUCCUACGGGAGGCAGCAGUGGGGAAUAUUGCACAAUGGGCGAAAGCCUGAUGCAGCAACGCCGCGUGAGCGAUGAAGGCCUUCGGGUCGUAAAGCUCUGUCUUCAGGGACGAUAAUGACGGUACCUGAGGAGGAAGCCACGGCUAACUACGUG
This 461-nucleotide ribosomal RNA is filed under the name uncultured bacterium. Its description in RNAcentral is "bacterial SSU rRNA". It matches the Rfam family "Bacterial small subunit ribosomal RNA", at positions 34 to 507 of the family's 1533-position model. The record is from RNAcentral.